CGCUGGCGGCAGGCCUAACACAUGCAAGUCGAGCGGUAACAUUUCUAGCUUGCUAGAAGAUGACGAGCGGCGGACGGGUGAGUAAUGCUUGGGAACAUGCCUUUAGGUGGGGGACAACAGUUGGAAACGACUGCUAAUACCGCAUAAUGUCUACGGACCAAAGUGGGGGACCUUCGGGCCUCACGCCUAAAGAUUGGCCCAAGUGGGAUUAGCUAGUUGGUGAGGUAAUGGCUCACCAAGGCGACGAUCCCUAGCUGGUUUGAGAGGAUGAUCAGCCACACUGGGACUGAGACACGGCCCAGACUCCUACGGGAGGCAGCAGUGGGGAAUAUUGCACAAUGGGCGCAAGCCUGAUGCAGCCAUGCCGCGUGUGUGAAGAAGGCCUUCGGGUUGUAAAGCACUUUCAGUAAGGAGGA
RNAcentral lists this ribosomal RNA (416 nucleotides) under marine sediment bacterium ISA-3070. Its description in RNAcentral is "bacterial SSU rRNA". It matches the Rfam family "Bacterial small subunit ribosomal RNA", at positions 34 to 448 of the family's 1533-position model. The record is from RNAcentral.